This 283-nucleotide long non-coding RNA is filed under the name Setaria italica (foxtail millet). RNAcentral's name for it is "long non-coding RNA (SITA_LNC006466)". The record is from RNAcentral. Lineage: Eukaryota; Viridiplantae; Streptophyta; Magnoliopsida; Poales; Poaceae.
CAGAACUGAGCCCAAAAUGGCGGCCGCCUCCUCCAUGCUCACCGCCGCGUCGCUCUCCUUCUCCGCGCUCCCGUCAUCGCGCCUCCGUGCCGCUCCUCCCGCCGCCGCCUCCUUCGCCGCGGCGCCGCGUCGCGCGGCUGCCGCACCCGUCGUCGUGCGCGCGGCGGCCGCCUCGUCCAAGGCCACGGCUGCGGCGGAGGCGGCCCCGAAGAAGAAGAGGGCGACCGGCAUCACCCAGCCGAAGCCCGUCUCGCCGGCGCUGCAGGCAAUCGUGGGCGUCCCG